Molecule: ribosomal RNA, 253 nt
Filed under: uncultured bacterium
Lineage: Bacteria
Description: partial 16S ribosomal RNA
Rfam family: Bacterial small subunit ribosomal RNA
Source: RNAcentral
UACGUAGGGUGCAAGCGUUAAUCGGAAUUACUGGGCGUAAAGCGUGCGCAGGCGGUUUGGCAAGACAGAUGUGAAAUCCCCGGGCUCAACCUGGGAAUUGCAUUUGUGACUGCACGGCUAGAGUGUGGCAGAGGGGGGUGGAAUUCCGCGUGUAGCAGUGAAAUGCGUAGAUAUCGUAAGGAAGACCAGUGGCGAAGGCGGGUCUCUGGACAGUUCCUGACGCUGAGGCACGAAGGUCAGGGGAGCAAACGGG